Molecule: ribosomal RNA, 253 nt
Filed under: uncultured bacterium
Lineage: Bacteria
Description: partial 16S ribosomal RNA
Rfam family: Bacterial small subunit ribosomal RNA
Source: RNAcentral
UACGUAGGGGGCAAGCGUUGUCCGGAAUCAUUGGGCGUAAAGAGCGUGUAGGCGGCUUGAUAAGGUUGCGGUGAAAGCCCGGGGCUCAACCCCGGGUCGGCCGUGGCAACUGUCGAGCUGGAGCACUGUAGAGGCAGGUGGAAUUCCGGGUGUAGCGGUGGAAUGCGUAGAGAUCCGGAAGAACACCGGUGGCGAAGGCGGCCUGCUGGGCAGUGGCUGACGCUGAGGCGCGACAGCGUGGGGAGCAAACAGG